RNAcentral lists this ribosomal RNA (1427 nucleotides) under metagenome. RNAcentral describes it as "bacterial LSU rRNA". It matches the Rfam family "Bacterial large subunit ribosomal RNA", at positions 1520 to 2925 of the family's 2925-position model. The record is from RNAcentral.
UUAGGGCGGAACGUAGGUAAAUCCGCGUUCUAUUCAGCCUGAGAUGUGAUGCCGAGCCGAUUGUGGUGAAGUGGAUGAUCCUAUGCUGCCGAGAAAAGCCUCUAGUGAGUGUUGUGGCGGCCCGUACCCUAAACCGACUCAGGUGGUCAGGUAGAGAAUACCAAGGCGAUCGGGUGAACUGUGGUUAAGGAACUCGGCAAAUUGCCCCCGUAACUUCGGGAGAAGGGGGACCUCUGCUGGUGAUGGGCUUUACGUUCUGAGCUGGUGGGGGUCGCAGUGGCCAGGGGGAAGCGACUGUUUACUAAAAACACAGGUCCGUGCGAAGUCGUAAGACGAUGUAUACGGACUGACGCCUGCCCGGUGCCGGAACGUUAAGGGGACCGCUUAGCCAACGCGAGUUGGCGAAGGUGAGAACUUAAGCGCCGGUAAACGGCGGUGGUAACUAUAACCAUCCUAAGGUAGCGAAAUUCCUUGUCGGGUAAGUUCCGACCUGCACGAAUGGCGUAACGACUUCCCCGCUGUCUCAACCACAGACCCGGCGAAAUUGCACUACGAGUAAAGAUGCUCGUUUCGCGCAGCAGGACGGAAAGACCCCGGGACCUUCACUACAGCUUGACAUUGGCGUUUGGAACGUCUUGUGUAGGAUAGGUGGGAGACUGGGAAGCUGUCACGCUAGUGAUGGUGGAGUCAUUGGUGAAAUACCACUCUGGUCGUUUUGAACGUCUAACUCUGGUCCGUGAUCCGGAUCGGGGACAGUGUCUGGUGGGUAGUUUAACUGGGGCGGUCCCUCCUAAAGAGUAACGGAGGCGCCCAAAGGUUCCCUCAGCCUGGUUGGCAAUCAGGUGUUGAGUGUAAGUGCACAAGGGAGCUUGACUGUGAGACUGACAGGUCGAGCAGGAGCGAAAGCUGGGACUAGUGAUCCGGCAUCGGCGUGUGGAAGCGGUGUCGCUCAACGGCUAAAAGGUACCCCGGGGAUAACAGGCUGAUCUUCCCCAAGAGUCCAUAUCGACGGGAUGGUUUGGCACCUCGAUGUCGGCUCGUCGCAUCCUGGGGCUGGAGUAGGUCCCAAGGGUUGGGCUGUUCGCCCAUUAAAGCGGUACGCGAGCUGGGUUUAGAACGUCGCGAGACAGUUCGGUCCCUAUCCGCUGCGCGCGCAGGAGACUUGAAGGGGGGCUGUCCCUAGUACGAGAGGACCGGGACGGACGAACCUCUGGUGUGCCAGUUGUACCGCCAGGUGCACGGCUGGUUGGCUACGUUCGGAAGGGAUAACCGCUGAAAGCAUCUAAGCGGGAAGCUCGCCUUGAGAUGAGAUCUCCCACCCUGUGAGGGGGUAAGGCUCCCGGUAGAUCACCGGGUUGAUAGGCCGGAGGUGGAAGCACGGUAACGUGUGGAGCUGACCGGUACUAAUAGGCCGAGGACUUGACUAA